GAUGAAGAACGUAGCGAAAUGCGAUAAGUAAUGCGAAUUGCAGAAUUUCCGUGAGUCAUCGAAUCUUUGAUCGCACAUUGCGCCCACUGGUAUUCCGGUGGGCAUGCCUGUUCGAGCGUCAUUAUCCUCCCUCAAACCCCGGGUUUGGUGUUGGACCCAAGUUGUGUGAACAACUGGUCUCAAAGACAAUGACGGCGUCCGUGGGACCCUCGGUGCAACGAGCUUUUAGGAGCACGCAUCGAGUUGCAAGGACCUUCCGGGCCGGUCUCCUUUACCAUUUUACAAGGUUGACCUCGGAUCAGGUAGGAAUACCCGCUGAACUUAAGCAUAUCAAUAAGCGGAGGA
Molecule: unclassified non-coding RNA, 345 nt
Filed under: soil metagenome
Description: partial contains 5.8S ribosomal RNA, internal transcribed spacer 2, and large subunit ribosomal RNA
Rfam family: 5.8S ribosomal RNA (bases 1-121)
Source: RNAcentral